Molecule: long non-coding RNA, 2247 nt
Filed under: Equus caballus (horse)
Lineage: Eukaryota; Metazoa; Chordata; Mammalia; Perissodactyla; Equidae
Description: lncRNA (ENSECAG00000059292.1)
Source: RNAcentral
CAUCGCCCCGCCACGCCCCCACCGCUGUCCAGCCGCGCGAGUGCCCCGCGGCCGCGGCCACCGCCGCCGCCGCCGCCGCCGCCGCCCAGCCCUUCCACCUCGCGGCCCCACGGGAACCCAGGGCCAACCGGGGCCGGCCCCGCGUGGCCGUGCCCCCGACGCCGCCCUCGUCCGGCGGGCUCCCUCUGUCCUCGGCGGCCUCUUCCCACCCGCCAGGCUCCUGAGAGACCCUAGCGGUCCACUCGGCCGGCGCGGCACCCAAGCAGUUGGUCGAGUCGUGGUGUGCGAUGGAACGGAUCCCGCUCCGGGCUGCGGAGGCCCGGACAGCUUCAGCAAGCUGCCAGCAGCCCCUCCGUCUUCCAGAGCCCAUCUAGGAAAGACCCCGGGUCAGGCCUCUCCAAACAGCACCUACAGAAGGACGGGGCCCACUGGGCUCGAGAGGAACCUUCGGGGCCUGGCCAUCCAUCCCAAGCGGGACGGCUUCUGGAUUUUCUGAUGCCUGCGCCGUGUGUCAGCUUCUCCAAGUCGGUACCUGGCUGUCCUUGAUACCGUCGUUCGCGAGAAACCCUCGUUUCCGCACUGGAGUUGAAGCAGCACAGAGGAAAAGAUUCAGAAACUAAGGAUAAAGAUGCAGGAAGAUCGCGAUGGAGAGGAAUGAAAUUGAGGAGCUCUAAUGGAUGGUAUUUCUCUUCUUAGGAAGGUUAGAAGAAACUACUUGUGAAUUCCAUGCAGCACGACUAUUCUGACUAUUGCUGUUGAUAUUGAUGUUGCAUACUUUUUAAAUCUACCAAAAACCUUUUCUGGAAACAGGUGAAGGAUUAAUUAAUUAUCAAGACAAUAAAUAUUGACAGAAGGGAGGCAGUGCCCUUAUCCGGCUGGAGAUGUUUCCCAUUGAGCCUGGAGAUUUAAUCUGCAGAUUUGCACCAGCGGUGACACAACCUCCUCAAGGGCACUUGCGAAACACGUUUCUGGGUCCUGUGCAAAGUGAGGCAAGCGGAUUCCUGAAAAUGACAGCACAGUCCAACCACAGCUCAAGUCAAAAGCCAUAAGCACAUCAUGAAAAACAAACCCAUCACUGAACAAAUAUAUGAUAUGUUUACAUUGCAACUAAAUAUUUCACAGUGAGAAACAAGUCUUUUCUGUAAAAAUGUGCUGCAAUGUGUGUAUAUUAUUUCAUAUUUUGGGGAUUAUAUCUUUAGGACUAAUUCCUAGAAGCAUAAUUUCUAGGUCAAAGAGUAAAUCCAUAUACAAAUCUGCUAGAUGUUGCCAAACGCCCUUCUGUAGCACCUCCAACAUUUUGUAUCCCCAUCAACAAUGCGUGAGCUUGGCUGGUUCUCCACAGCCUCGCAACGGAGUGGGGUUUACACUUUUGGAUGAUUCCAAAUUGAUGGGUAAGAAAUGGUACAUCCUUGUACUUUUAGUUUGUUUCUCUUAUUAUUGUUGCUGCAGUCUAGAUCUAGCCAGGAAGAGAGAAACCAGACCAAUUAUUUUAAUAGAGAAAACUGAAUUUGGGUAAAAGGCUAAGCAGGAAUUGGUGGACUAAGCAGGCAAAGAGGAACCAGGAGGAACAGAGAGAAAGUCUAACCAGCUAUAUUAAAAUUCUUCAUAAUUGGAAUGUAUAGAGUGGCUUCGGUAUUCUCACUGAACCAUAACUUCUCUCCAUGACUGUUUGCCCCUGAAUCGUGAUAUUGCCCUCUCUCUGACUCACUUGCUCAAAUUCUGACACUUAGUCUUUUAAUCCAACUGAAUAGAGACGCUUCUUAUAUACUAGGGAACCCAGUUAGAGUGCCUUGAAUGUAAGGAUAUGACCAGAGGGCUCUCUGGGAUUGGAGGAGAAGGAUAUUCAUCUCAGAAAGUUUGUUUAAAUCAGCAUGCCUGUCCCAAACUCCUGAAUUUUUAAAAAUCUGUGCCUGAGAGGUCCCUUGACAAAUUAGGAGGCAGAGUGACACAUUACACAAGCCACUGAAUACUGCAAUCUUGACCCAGUUUCUGAAAGACUCCAUAAUGUAAUCAAUAGCAAUAUAUCUCAUGACAAAGAUAACACAAAAGAAGAAAUUUACAACAAAGUUGAUUCAUGUAUAUUGAUUCAAAAACUCUGAACAAAAUACUAUCAGAUGUUAUAGUGCUAACAAUAAAAUAAUAUUAAUAAUAAAAUGCCAUGACUUAGUAGGUAUACAUUCUAGCAUUUAUUCCAGUAGAUUACCAGGUAUGUGGGCGAAAGGAGAAAAAUAUAAAUUACCAUCUCAU